Triticum aestivum (bread wheat) is the source of this 135-nucleotide non-coding RNA. The record is from Rfam. NCBI's taxonomy places the organism in Eukaryota, Viridiplantae, Streptophyta, Magnoliopsida, Poales, Poaceae.
AAAGUACGCCCUCCGUCCCAAAAUUCUUGUCUUAGAUUUGUCUAGAUACGGAUGUAUCAAGUCACAUUUUAGUAUUAGAUACAUCCGUAUAUAAACAACUCUAAAACAAGAAAUUUGGGACAGAGGGAGUAGUUG